UCAGAUUCAAUCUAUGUCAUUUACCAAAACACCAUGGCAGCGCUUGUUUAGGAGAAUACUUGGUUUCUGUUGUUAUCGCGUUUCAUUCAUCAAGUGACGAUCCUCUGACCAUUUCUUCAUGGUUUGUCUCUCAUCUCAAAUGAUGUAGAAUAAUAGAGUUCUGUGGCCUCAUCACGAAAGAUGCCAAUAACCUGUUGUUUAUAAGUGGAUUCAUAGCUAUCGCUGCAAGGUAGCUCAGUUGAAGCAUGCAAAAAUGUCACACAGGGAGAUUUUCUGCUUCUACUAUGGAAGAUAAUGAAAGUUCAAAUGUAUGCGCAGUGUUCUUUCACGUUUUUGUCAAUAGCUGUCAUAAGUUCGACUCAUUCACCAAGAUCACGAGGUUUAGCUAAAUGACUAAUUUCCUUUCUUCACUCGCUUCUGGUAUUUCAAUGUGCUGAUUCCUAUGAGUGCUAACCUUGCUUUGCAGGUUAGUGUGCCCCUUAUUGCAACAAGAAGGAAAAAUUCGGCAGGCAAUCAAAUGGUUCAAGGUGGAAGCUAAGUCAGGAGCUUGAAAGCUCUGAUACCAUGAAAGAAG
Molecule: long non-coding RNA, 574 nt
Filed under: Eucalyptus grandis
Lineage: Eukaryota; Viridiplantae; Streptophyta; Magnoliopsida; Myrtales; Myrtaceae
Description: long non-coding RNA (EGRA_LNC000283)
Source: RNAcentral